GUCUACAGCCACGCCACCCCGAUCAUGUCCAAUCUAGUCGGAUCUCAGAAGCUAAGCAGGGUCAGGCCUGGUUAGUACUUGGAUGGGAGACCACCUGGGAAGACUGGGUAUUAUAGGCA
Molecule: ribosomal RNA, 119 nt
Filed under: Pteropus alecto (black flying fox)
Lineage: Eukaryota; Metazoa; Chordata; Mammalia; Chiroptera; Pteropodidae
Source: RNAcentral